This 484-nucleotide ribosomal RNA is filed under the name uncultured bacterium. RNAcentral's name for it is "partial 16S ribosomal RNA". It matches the Rfam family "Bacterial small subunit ribosomal RNA", at positions 30 to 507 of the family's 1533-position model. The record is from RNAcentral.
AUUGAACGCUGGCGGCAGGCCUAACACAUGCAAGUCGAGCGGAGGAAGGGAGCUUGCUCCUGGAUUCAGCGGCGGACGGGUGAGUAAUGCCUAGGAAUCUGCCUGGUAGUGGGGGAUAACGUCCGGAAACGGGCGCUAAUACCGCAUACGUCCUGAGGGAGAGAGUGGGGGAUCUUCGGACCUCACGCUAUCAGAUGAGCCUAGGUCGGAUUGGUUGUUUGGUGGGGUAAAGGCCUACCAAGGCGACGAUCCGUAACUGGUCUGAGAGGAUGAUCAGUCACACUGGAACUGAGCACCGGUCCAGACUCCUACGGGAGGCAGCAGUGGGGAAUAUUGGACAAUGGGCGAAAGCCUGAUCCAGCCAUGCCGCGUGUGUGAAGAAGGUCUUCGGAUUGUAAAGCACUUUAAGUUGGGAGGAAGGGCAGUAAGUUAAUACCUUGCUGUUUUGACGUUACCAACAGAAUAAGCACCGGCUAACUUCGUG